GAUGAACGCUGGCGGCGUGCCUAAUACAUGCAAGUCGAGCGAACGGACGAGAAGCUUGCUUCUCUGAUGUUAGCGGCGGACGGGUGAGUAACACGUGGAUAACCUACCUAUAAGACUGGGAUAGCUUCGGGAAACCGGAGCUAAUACCGGAUAAUAUUUUGAACCGCAUGGUUCAAAAGUGAAAGACGGUCUUGCUGUCACUUAUAGAUGGAUCCGCGCUGCAUUAGCUAGUUGGUAAGGUAACGGCUUACCAAGGCAACGAUGCAUAGCCGACCUGAGAGGGUGAUCGGCCACACUGGAACUGAGACACGGUCCAGACUCCUACGGGAGGCAGCAGUAGGGAAUCUUCCGCAAUGGGCGAAAGCCUGACGGAGCAACGCCGCGUGAGUGAUGAAGGUCUUCGGAUCGUAAAACUCUGUUAUUAGGGAAGAACGUAUGUGUAAGUAACUGUGCACAUCUUGACGGUACCUAAUCAGAAAGCCACGGCUAACUACGUG
Molecule: ribosomal RNA, 497 nt
Filed under: uncultured bacterium
Lineage: Bacteria
Description: partial 16S ribosomal RNA
Rfam family: Bacterial small subunit ribosomal RNA
Source: RNAcentral